RNA transcript from Piliocolobus tephrosceles (Ugandan red Colobus), 3449 nucleotides. It is a transcript of the gene named tripartite motif containing 44, with no coding region annotated. The transcript has 6 exons. The record is from RefSeq and is a predicted model, not a curated record. NCBI's taxonomy places the organism in Eukaryota, Metazoa, Chordata, Mammalia, Primates, Cercopithecidae.
ACUUUAAAUGACUCAGGAAGUAAAAGGAGGCCUCCUGACGGGGAAAAGGAAAGUGGAACCGGGGCGGCGCGGGGGACGGCGGCAGCAGCAAUCUCGCCUGGGUAGCGGGAGGCUGAGCGAGCGGGGCGACGCGGGGGCCGGCGGGGGCGCCGGGUGGCCGUGCCGGAAGUGCCCUGCGCGGCAGAGGAAGCGCAGGGACAGAGCGGAGCAGGCCGAGCAGGCAGAAGGCUCUUUGCUGCUCCGCCCGGGCAGGGGCUGCCCCGGCCCCAGGUCGCGCUUCGAGACGCGGCGCGGUCCAGGCGGGCGGCGACUCCCGAGGAAGGGACCCGAGGCGGGAGGAGGAAGUGAGGAGGCCGCGCAGAGGGAAGGCGGCGAGCCCUGAGGCCCCGAGGCCUUGACCGCGUCACAGCACUCACAUGGCCUCCGGAGUGGGCGCGGCCUUCGAGGAGCUGCCUCACGACGGCACGUGUGACGAGUGCGAGCCAGACGAGGCUCCGGGGGCCGAGGAAGUGUGCCGAGAAUGCGGCUUCUGCUACUGCCGCCGCCACGCCGAGGCGCACAGGCAGAAGUUCCUCAGUCACCACCUGGCCGAAUACGUCCACGGUGCGCAGGCCUGGACCCCGCCAGCUGACGGAGAGGGGGCGGGGAAGGAAGAAGCGGAGGUCAAGGUGGAGCAGGAGAGGGAGAUAGAAAGCGAGGCAGGGGAAGAAAGUGAGUCGGAGGAAGAGAGCGAGUCAGAGGAGGAGAGUGAGACAGAGGAAGAGAGUGAGGAUGAGAGCGAUGAGGAGAGUGAAGAAGACAGCGAGGAAGAAAUGGAGGAUGAGCAAGAAAGCGAGGCCGAAGAAGACAACCAAGAAGAAGGGGAAUCCGAGGCGGAGGGAGAAACUGAGGCAGAAAGUGAGUUUGACCCAGAAAUAGAAAUGGAAGCAGAGAGAGUGGCCAAGAGGAAGUGUCCGGACCAUGGGCUCGAUUUGAGCACCUAUUGCCAGGAAGAUAGGCAGCUCAUCUGUGUCCUGUGUCCAGUCAUUGGGGCUCAUCAGGGCCACCAACUCUCCACCCUAGACGAAGCCUUUGAAGAAUUAAGAAGCAAAGACUCAGGUGGACUGAAGGCGGCUAUGAUCGAAUUGGUGGAAAGGUUGAAGUUCAAGAGCUCCGACCCUAAAGUAACUCGGGACCAAAUGAAGAUGUUUAUACAGCAGGAAUUUAAGAAAGUUCAGAAAGUGAUUGCCGAUGAGGAGCAGAAGGCCCUUCAUCUAGUGGACAUCCAGGAGGCAAUGGCCACAGCUCAUGUGACUGAGAUACUGGCAGACAUCCAAUCCCACAUGGAUAGGUUGAUGACCCAGAUGGCCCAAGCCAAGGAACAACUUGAUACCUCUAAUGAAUCAGCUGAGCCAAAGGCAGAGGGAGAUGAGGAAGGACCCAGUUAGAUGGUGAUGGUGAGAGAAAAAGGUGGAUCACAAAUGUGAUUUAACUGAGGAUCAUCUUUACUUGGUGUGGAUAAGAACAAAGAAAAGACCAAACUUGUCAACGUACAAGAUCACCUUCCCUGGCCUUCCUCUGUCAGUCACAGUGGUGCCAGUGAAGAAGAGGACACAUGAAGGCUUGCUACCCCCAGUGGAAAAUCAUCCCCUCCCCUUGUGUGUAUGUGACAGUGUGUAUGUAACGGCUUCUGACUUCUGUGAAAGCUGCUCAGCAACAAACGUACUUCCACCAGAUGUGUCCCCAGAUCCACAGCAGGCACAUAUCUCUCCAAGGGAUGACCAGUUUUAUGCUUACUGACUGUGUGCUUCUCAUCCUCUGGUUGUGGUAGGUCAAGGAAAAGAGCCCGUUUGAUCCACCAGGAGCAAUUAAGAAGGGUCCUUCAGGUAAUCCCUCAGUGGCUGCUUUGAACUUACUCAGGAAAGUCAGCCCCCAUAAUAUUGUAUUACCCAACAGUAUCGCUUUGUUAGGAAGGAUCUGGAAUAAUCUUGAAGGAAAGUCAGAGUUUUCUCCCUGCCUAUUAACAAAAACCCAAUUUUGUUCAUAUUGAAGCGUGAAAUAAAUGAGAGCAAGGUAGGGCCACAUUGACUCAUGUGGGCAGUCCCUAAAAGUCCAGUUCUGCAUUUGUGAAAAUGUAGUGCCAUGAAUUAAGAUGGAUGACUGGAAAAAGGUGUUGGAGAAAGAGUUAAAGAUUAGGAAGAGAUAUUUUUAGUAUAUGAAGUUAUCCAGGACUUGAGAUUCAUAAUUCAGUGCUGUGGAAAUGAAAAAAAAAAAAAAAUGAUUGAAGAGGUGGAACGGAAAUGACCUUAGGGGGGAAAAAAAGGACCAAAGAAAUCUGAUUAAAAGUUGAAAUCAGUAAUUCUGAAUUCAAAUUGCUUGAAUUUCCAAAAUAGUCAGUAAAGGAUCUAAAAGAACCAGAAUUAUUUGGGUGAAUUCUGCAGGUUUUAUGGGCUUGUCACAACAUGAAGGGCUGGAAUGUAUAUUACCAAAUGGGAAUUUUCAUUGUAGGUUUUUGCUAGUCCUACCCCCAUUUUAGCCUAAUUUGGCUUAAAUGCAAUAUGGGGAAGAAUUGAUGCCACUCCAUGUGUUCUGAAUUCAGCUCAUCUCCCAGCAUAUAGAUAUAACCUCCUUUACCUCUGACCAGAACCCUUCUUCCUGUGGCACUCCCCACCCACAGACCUUCAGAUCAUCUCCAACACCCUGGAUCUCGCUCUCCUCUUAGUAACAGAGACAUACCUGAAGUUGGACUUCCUUGCUUUUCUCUACUUCCAAAUCACAAUUUCUUACAACCAAGCUUUGUACUCCCGAGUAAGCAGGGAUGUGCUAGGGGAAUGUAAAACUGCAAACUUAAAAACCUGCAUCUUCUUGAAGCAUCAGUUUUACUUACCAAAUGGUUUGGAGUCAGGAGAUGACCUAUUUUUAUAUAAAAGUUAUAUUAUAGAAUAAAAUGUUCAUACACAUAGACUGUUAAGAUAAAAAAUAGGAAUCUUGAAAGGUAAUUAUUUGCAAUUGGGUUAUAUGUUCACUCUCCUCUGCCUUUAUGGUAUUUUGGUGUUCACUUAUGAAGAAUACAACUGGAACCAUAUCCAAGCAGACUCUGGGUUGCUGCUAACCCAGGGCCUAGACUUCUAGUGCCUCUGAGGCAGAACCAAAGGAGCCUGCACCGGGGGAAAUCCCUUUUCCUGCCUGCCUGUGACCUGUGUACCUAUUACAGGGCCAGCUGAUUAUUGUGCUUGCAGGAUGGUUUUGAAACAGAAACAAUACUUGUUUACUAUUAGAGUCCUAUUUAUAUUAUUUUUCAGUCCUGUGAAUGCUGUGAAAUGAUUUAUUCUUUUGAGGCCAGGAAGCUCCCAGGCAUAUAUGCUUCUAGGUUAGGAUUGUCCUAACUCACUAAAGAUGCCAGGAUAUUGGGGCUGAGAGGAGUUUGAGAUGUUAAAAAAAAAAAAAAAAAAGCAUUUUUCUCUCAAACU